Molecule: ribosomal RNA, 253 nt
Filed under: uncultured bacterium
Lineage: Bacteria
Description: partial 16S ribosomal RNA
Rfam family: Bacterial small subunit ribosomal RNA
Source: RNAcentral
UACGUAGGGGGCAAGCGUUGUCCGGAAUUAUUGGGCGUAAAGAGCGCGUAGGCGGUCCGAUAAGUCGGCUGUGAAAGUCAUGGGCUCAACCCAUGAAAGCCGGCCGAUACUGUCGGACUAGAGUCCGGAAGAGGCAAGUGGAAUUCCCGGUGUAGCGGUGAAAUGCGCAGAUAUCGGGAGGAAUACCGGUGGCGAAGGCGGCAUCCUGGACCGGCAUUGACGCUGAGGAGCGAAAGCUAGGGGAGCAAACGGG